GACGAACGCUGGCGGCGUGCCUAAUACAUGCAAGUCGAGCGCUUCUUUCCUCCCGAGUGCUUGCACUCAAUUGGAAAGAGGAGUGGCGGACGGGUGAGUAACACGUGGGUAACCUACCCAUCAGAGGGGGAUAACACUUGGAAACAGGUGCUAAUACCGCAUAACAGUUUAUGCCGCAUGGCAUAAGAGUGAAAGGCGCUUUCGGGUGUCGCUGAUGGAUGGACCCGCGGUGCAUUAGCUAGUUGGUGAGGUAACGGCUCACCAAGGCCACGAUGCAUAGACGACCUGAGAGGGAGAUCGGCCACAUUGGCAGUGAGACACGGCCCAGACUCCUACGGGAGGCAGCAGCAGGGAAUCUUAGGCAAAGGACGAAAGUCGGACAGAGCAACGCCGCGGGAGUGAAGAAGGUGUUAGGAUCGGAAAGCUCUGUUGUUAGAGAAGAUGUAGGACGUUAGUAACUGAACGGCUACUGACGGUAUCUAAACAGAAAGCCACGGCUAACUACGUG
This 508-nucleotide ribosomal RNA is filed under the name uncultured bacterium. Its description in RNAcentral is "partial 16S ribosomal RNA". It matches the Rfam family "Bacterial small subunit ribosomal RNA", at positions 28 to 507 of the family's 1533-position model. The record is from RNAcentral.